CUGUGGAAUUCAAUGCUUUUAUUUACAUGAUACAUUCCUCCAACAUAUGUAACAAUGACACAAUAUAUAUCAUAAUAUAUGUACACAUCGAAACAAUUCAUAGAUAUAGAAAGAUGUGGUAUGAGUGCCAAUGAGACAACUCUCCAUCCAAGUCACCAUUAUAAAAGUAAACCAUUAUAGGUCAAGAUACGGUCUUUAACACGGAGUCUAGGCUCACUCCGAACAGCAAGCUUUAAAGGGCCUCAACAAUUACUAUUGUAAAACCAUUCAAACGGGAAAACCAACGGUGUAAUCUAUAUAACUAGAGGCUCUCAAGAGCCUGUGUCGCUCACCUUGGUCUAUGUGCAUAUUAAAAAAUGGACACAGAUAAAUUCAUGACAAAUUUUGUUUUUUUGUGAUGGUGAUGUGUUUGUAGAUCUUACUUUACUGAACAUUCUUGUUGCUACAAAUAUCUAUAUCUAUAAUGAACUUUGCCCAGUAAUUACAGUGGAAAAUAUUUCCUAAAAAUUAACAAAAAUUUAUGAAAAUUGUAAAAAAUUGACUAUAAAGGGCGAUAUCUCCUUAAAGGGUCAUUUGAAAAUUUUGGUUAUGUUGACUUAGUUGUACCUUUCUUUGUUGAACAUUAUUGCUGUUUACAGUUCAUUUCUAUCUAUAAUAAUAUUCAAGAUAAUAACAAAAAACUGCAAAUUUUAUUUAAAAUUACUAUUUUGGGGCAGAAACCCAACAAGGGGUUGACUGAUUUGUCUGAAAAUUUCAGGGCAGAUAGAUCUUCAUCUGAUAAACAAUUUUAUCCCGCGUCAGAUUUGCUCUAAAUGCUUUGGUGUCAAUAGAUAUAAGCCAAAAUCUACAUUUUACCCUUAUGUACUAUUUUUAGCCAUGGCUUGAUUGGUUGGCCAGGUCACGCCACACAUUUUUUAAACUAUAUACUCCAAUGAUGAUUGUGGACAAAUUUGGUUAAAUUUGGCCCAGUAAUUUCAGAAGAGAAGAUUUUUUAAAAAGAAUACUAAAAUUUUGAAAAAUGGUUAAACAUUGACUAUAAAGGGCAAUAACUCCUUAAGGGUUCCAAUGUUUAUAUACCUCGAACUUCUAAGAGUUUAAACGACCCCUACCUUAUCUGUAGGAUUACCUUAGAUUUCAAUAUAAACAAUAUGCAUGUGUAUAUUUACUGGUAGCAUUUCCAAGUUAUGUCUAUAUGAGAUGAAACAUAGAGAUCAUAACUGGGAAAAUGUAAACAAAUAAAAUUAUCUGUAAAUAUUCUAUAUCUCUCCAAAAGAGGUGUGGUUUGAGAAACAGCUGUAUUUACAAAAAAGUAAAAUCACAAAAAUACUGAACUCAGAGGAAAAUCAAUUCGGAAAGUCCAUAAUCACAUGGCAAAAUCAAAUAACAAAACGCAUCAAAAAUGAAUGGACAAGAACUGUCAAAUUCCUGACUUGGUAAAAGAGGCGUCUUUUGAGAAACAGCUGUAUUUACAAAGUGCAACCUAAACAGACAUGUAUUCAUAUAGAAAAAUCUCUAAAAACACUUUUUCUCACAUUAAUACUUACUUAUCAGAAUUACAGCCUUAAAGAAAUCAUCGCAUAUACUCUAAGUUUUCUUUUACUUUACUUUGUAUACUUCCUCCCCUGUUUCAGUUUUUUUUAACAAUUUAAAAAAAAAGACUUUAAUUAUUGACAGCUUAACCUUUUUGCAUGUUUUCUGACAUGGAAUGCCUAAAACUUGUUUAAAACUGUUCUGAUAACAAAUUGAAAGCAUUUCAGAAUACUGUAAAUGUAAUGUUUAGCAGUCAAUCAUUCCAACAUUUAAGAUUAUUUAAAGUAUACAAUCCUGCCUCUGUCUCCAGUCAACAUCUUACUGUAUGCCUAUGUGUCAAUGAAAGUUCACAAUUUCUGCCUUAAAUGGUAAGUUUAGAAUUUUUGACACAACAGUAUUAUCUCUAACCAUAUAGAUGACAUUUACUUUAGCUAAUAUAUGAUCUAGAAGUGUUAAAACAAUGCCAUAUUUGCAAUAGUUGUAUGCAUGCAGAUAACAGUCUGAUGUACACAUUCACUUAUUUUCUUUUAGAAAUUACUGCUUAUAUCUGAUUUUUGCAUAACUUCCAAGCACAGUUAUUUAUUAUUAUACAAAGACGUUUAAGAUCAUAAAAUCAUAGCAUUUGGAAGUUAAAUUAUUUGUUUGAUGACCUAGGGUGUAGGCAAUUUUCUCUGCUUUUUGCCCCUGGGGCCUCAAAUUUCCUAAAUAAGUCUGCUGUUUCUAGCAAUAUGGAAUAUUUAGUACAUAUUCAGGAUAGGGCACACUAUUGUAAGUUUAAUUGAGAUAUUAUAGUGUUUCUAGCUUGGAUUGUUUAUGUCGUGGUGACAAAAAAGCAGAUUUAGGUGUUACGGUUUACUUUUGGGUUAUGGACUGGACAAAAACACCCAACCAAUAAUUUUGAAGAAGGAUCUAUGAAUUUCAAAGAUAGCGAAGAGUAAAUAUGAGUCCGUUGCUGUGUGUGUUACAUUUUAAUGUUGUGUCGUUGUUCUCCUCUAAUAUUUAAUGCGUUUCCCUCAGUUUUAGUUUGUUACCUCGAUUUUGUUUUUGUCCAUAGAAUUAUGAGUUUUGAACAGCGGUAUACUACUGUUGCCUUUAAAUAUAAGCACUUCUUAACAAUUUAACUUACAAAUAUGCAUGUAUUAUGAUUUUUUUUGGCAUUCAGGGCUUUAAGUAAACUAUGUAUACUGUACACUGUGAAUUG
RNAcentral lists this long non-coding RNA (2731 nucleotides) under Mytilus galloprovincialis (Mediterranean mussel). Lineage: Eukaryota; Metazoa; Mollusca; Bivalvia; Mytilida; Mytilidae. The record is from RNAcentral.